RNAcentral lists this ribosomal RNA (469 nucleotides) under uncultured bacterium. RNAcentral's name for it is "partial 16S ribosomal RNA". It matches the Rfam family "Bacterial small subunit ribosomal RNA", at positions 27 to 507 of the family's 1533-position model. The record is from RNAcentral.
GGACGAACGCUGGCGGCGUGCUUAACCCAUGCAAGCCGAACGGAAAGGCCCUGCUUUUGUGGGGUGCUCGAGUGGCGAACGGGUGAGUAACACGUGAGUAACCUGCCCUUGACUUUGGGAUAACUUCAGGAAACUGGGGCUAAUACCGGAUAGGAGCUCCUGCUGCAUGGUGGGGGUUGGAAAGUUUCGGCGGUUGGGGAUGGACUCGCGGCUUAUCAGCUUGUUGGUGGGGUAGUGGCUUACCAAGGCUUUGACGGGUAGCCGGCCUGAGAGGGUGACCGGCCACAUUGGGACUGAGAUACGGCCCAGACUCCUACGGGAGGCAGCAGUGGGGAAUAUUGCACAAUGGGCGGAAGCCUGAUGCAGCAACGCCGCGUGCGGGAUGACGGCCUUCGGGUUGUAAACCGCUUUCGCCUGUGACGAAGCGUGAGUGACGGUAAUGGGUAAAGAAGCACCGGCUAACUACGUG